Molecule: ribosomal RNA, 1246 nt
Filed under: metagenome
Description: bacterial LSU rRNA
Rfam family: Bacterial large subunit ribosomal RNA
Source: RNAcentral
UGAAUACGAGACGCUAAGGCGUCGAAGUAGUGUAUGUCAUACUUCCAAGAAAAGCUUGCACUGUCAUAAGUAAAAAAUGCCUGUACCAUAACCGACACAGGUGGGUAGGUAGAGUAUACUAAGGGGCGCGAGAUAACUCUCUCUAAGGAACUCGGCAAAAUAACUCCGUAACUUCGGGAGAAGGAGUACCUUAUUCUAUAAGGUUGCAAUAACAAGAUCCAAGCAACUGUUUAUCAAAAACACAGGUCUCCGCUAAGUCGUAAGACGAUGUAUGGGGGCUGACGCCUGCCCAGUGCCAGAAGGUUAAAGAAGUCGGUUAGCAUUAGCGAAGCUGGUAACUGAAGCCCUGGUGAACGGCGGCCGUAACGAUAACGGUCCUAAGGUAGCGAAAUUCCUUGUCGGGUAAGUUCCGACCCGCACGAAAGGCGUAAUGAUUUGGAUACUGUCUCGGAGAGGGGCUCGGUGAAAUAGACUUGUCUGUGAAGAUGCGGACUACCUGCACCAGGACAGAAAGACCCUAUGAAGCUUUACUGUAACUUGAAAUUGAAAUUGGACUUUAUUCGCGCAGUAUAGGUGGGAGGUGUUGAUUAUAAUCUUGCGGGAUUAUUGGAGCCAUCAGUGAGAUACCACUCUUGUAAUGUUAGAUUUCUAACUUUGAAUCAUUAUCUGGUCAAAGGACAGUUUCAGGCGGGCAGUUUGACUGGGGCGGUCGCCUCCCAAACGGUAACGGAGGCGUACAAAGGUUUCCUCUGAACGGGUAGAAAUCGUAUCUAGAGUGUAAAGGCAUAAGGAAGCUUGACUGUGAGACCUACAAGUCGAACAGGGACGAAAGUCGGUCUUAGUGAUCUGACGGUACUGAGUGGAAAGGCCGUCACUCAACGGAUAAAAGUUACUCUAAGGAUAACAGUCUGAUCUCCCCCAAGAGUUCACAUCGACGGGGAGGUUUGGCACCUCGAUGUCGGCUCAUCGCAUCCUGGGGCGGUAGUACGUCCCAAGGGUUGGGCUGUUCGCCCAUGAAAGCGGUACGCGAGCUGGGUUCAGAACGUCGUGAGACAGUUCGGUCCAUAUCCGGUGUAGGCGUUAGAAUAUUGAGAGGAGCCUUCUUUAGUACGAGAGGACCGAGAAGGACAUACCUCUGGUGUACCAGUUAUCGUGCCAACGGUAAACGCUGGGUAGCUAUGUAUGGAGUGGAUAACCGCUGAAAGCAUCUAAGUGGGAAGCCCACCUCAAGAUAAGUAUUCUCAUC